GCCUGGGUGGCUCAGCUGGUUGAGCGGCUGACUUCGGCUCAGGUCAUGAUCUCACAGUUCGUGGGUUCGAGCCCCUCGUCGGGCU
Molecule: transfer RNA, 85 nt
Filed under: Felis catus (domestic cat)
Lineage: Eukaryota; Metazoa; Chordata; Mammalia; Carnivora; Felidae
Rfam family: tRNA
About the family: Transfer RNA (tRNA) molecules are approximately 80 nucleotides in length.
Source: Rfam by way of RNAcentral